CAGCAGCCACGGGAAUACGUAGGUGGCAAGCGUUGUCCGGAAUUAUUGGGCGUAAAGGGCUCGCAGGCGGUUUCUUAAGUCUGAUGUGGAAGCCCCCGGCUCAACCGGGGAGGGUCAUUGGAAACUGGGAAACUUGAGUGCAGAAGAGGAGAGUGGAAUUCCACGUGUAGCGGUGAAAUGCGUAGAGAUGUGGAGGAACACCAGUGGCGAAGGCGACUCUCUGGUCUGUAACUGACGCUGAGGAGCGAAAGCGUGGGGAGCGAACAGGAUUAGAUACCCGCGUAGUCCCUGUCUCUUAUAC
RNAcentral lists this ribosomal RNA (301 nucleotides) under uncultured bacterium. RNAcentral's name for it is "partial 16S ribosomal RNA". It matches the Rfam family "Bacterial small subunit ribosomal RNA", at positions 509 to 807 of the family's 1533-position model. The record is from RNAcentral.